RNAcentral lists this ribosomal RNA (254 nucleotides) under uncultured bacterium. RNAcentral describes it as "partial 16S ribosomal RNA". It matches the Rfam family "Bacterial small subunit ribosomal RNA", at positions 524 to 776 of the family's 1533-position model. The record is from RNAcentral.
CACGUAGGGUGCGAGCGUUGUCCGGAAUUAUUGGGCGUAAAGAGCUCGUAGGCGGUGUGUCGCGUCGGCCGUGAAAACCUGUGGCUUAACCAUGGGCUUGCGGUCGAUACGGGCAUCACUGGAGUUCGGCAGGGGAGACUGGAAUUCCCGGUGUAGCGGUGAAAUGUGUAGAGAUCGGGAGGAACACCGGUGGCGAAGGCGGGUCUCUGGGCAAUUCCUGACGCUGAGGCGCGAAAGCGUGGGGAGCAAACGGG